Podarcis lilfordi (Lilford's wall lizard) is the source of this 70-nucleotide non-coding RNA. Lineage: Eukaryota; Metazoa; Chordata; Lepidosauria; Squamata; Lacertidae. The record is from the annotation of a GenBank genome assembly.
GGGUACCUCAAUUGGUUAGAGCAUGGUGUUAGUGGCACCAAGGUUGCAGGUUCGAUCCCUGUAUGGGACA